UGGGGAAUUUUGGACAAUGGGCGAAAGCCUGAUCCAGCAAUGCCGCGCGUGUGAAGAAGGCCUUCGGGUUGUAAAGCACUUUUGUCCGGAAAGAAAUCCUUGGCUCUAAUACAGUCGGGGGAUGACGGUACCGGAAGAAUAAGCACCGGCUAACUACGUGCCAGCAGCCGCGGUAAUACGUAGGGUGCAAGCGUUAAUCGGAAUUACUGGGCGUAAAGCGUGCGCAGGCGGUUUGCUAAGACCGAUGUGAAAUCCCCGGGCUCAACCUGGGAACUGCAUUGGUGACUGGGCAGGCUAGAGUAUGGCAGAGGGGGGUAGAAUUCCACGUGUAGCAGUGAAAUGCGUAGAGAUGUGGAGGAAUACCGAUGGCGAAGGCAGCCCCCUGGGCCAAUACUGACGCUCAUGCACGAAAGCGUGGGGAGCAAACAGGAUUAGAUACCCUGGUAGUCCACGCCCUAAACGAUGUCAACUAGUUGUUGGGGAUUCAUUUCCUUAGUAACGUAGCUAACGCGUGAAGUUGACCGCCUGGGGAGUACGGUCGCAAGAUUAAAACUCAAAGGAAUUGACGGGGUCAUAGCUGUUUCCU
This 586-nucleotide ribosomal RNA is filed under the name uncultured bacterium. RNAcentral describes it as "partial 16S ribosomal RNA". It matches the Rfam family "Bacterial small subunit ribosomal RNA", at positions 355 to 1375 of the family's 1533-position model. The record is from RNAcentral.